AGAGUUUGAUCCYGGCUCASAAUAAACSCUGGCGGCGUGCCYAACACMUGCMAGUCSAGCGGGAAAGUCCUUCSGGAUGAGUACMGCGGCGGACGGGUGAGAAACGCGUAAGAAUCUGCCCUUUAGUGAAGAAUGCCUCCGAGAAAUCGGAGUUAAUACUGCAUACGUCCCUACGGGGAGAAAGAUGGCCUCUUUGCUGUCSCUGAUGGAUGAGCUUGCGUACUAUUAGCUAGUUGGUGGGGUAAAGGCCUACCAAGGCGAUGAUGGUUAACCGGCCUGAGAGGGUGUUCGGUCACMUUGGAACUGAGACACGGUCCAGACUCCUACGGGAGGCAGCAGUGGGGAAUAUUGCGCAAUGGGCGAAAGCCUGACGCAGCSACGCCGCGUGGAGGAUGAAGGUCUUAGGAUUGUAAACUUCUGUUAAGUGGGAAAA
This 433-nucleotide ribosomal RNA is filed under the name uncultured bacterium. RNAcentral describes it as "partial 16S ribosomal RNA". It matches the Rfam family "Bacterial small subunit ribosomal RNA", at positions 8 to 448 of the family's 1533-position model. The record is from RNAcentral.